This is a non-coding RNA of Peromyscus maniculatus bairdii (prairie deer mouse), 819 nucleotides long. Lineage: Eukaryota; Metazoa; Chordata; Mammalia; Rodentia; Cricetidae. The record is from RefSeq and is a predicted model, not a curated record.
CUUUCCAUGGGCCCAGGAGGGCUCCACUAUCAAGGAGCCCAGGAGCCAGGCCCCAGUCGCGGUUUUCCCUCACAGACCCUUCCACCCACCCUAGGUUACCAUGGUUACUGCUCCGGGUUUCCAGGAGGAGCCAAACCAAACCUGAUGAGAGUUCAGGCUGCAGAGAAGCAGGCAGCAUUAAACCAAACAAAUUUCACAGUAGGAGGGAGUCUGACUAGACCAAAGAGCGAGCUAGCCCCGAAGACGUGUAUGUGUAUGUCUCACAAGCUGUAGCUCUGAGAUCUGGGGGAGUUCAUUGAAAAGACAGGGAAUCUGAGACAGGAAGUUCAAAAAUCAGGCUGGGCAGCAUAGCAAGCUCCAUCUCAAUGAAUAAGUAAAUAAACGAAAAAUAUAAGUCCUACCUAAAUGACGUCAAAAUCCACGGCUCCAGCUUAGGGGAACCUGCCUUUCACCUACUGUAAAUGUUUUCAGGAGCUUUAAGAUUCACCCAGUUUGGCCUUGGUCCCCCAUGCCUCCCCAUCUGCAGGACAGAACUGAGCAGACCUGGGAUCCUGCAUGCCCCACUCCUCACAAAAUCUCCCACCAACCAGGACUCUGUGCACCCAGAAGAGUGAAGGUCACCCCUCACCUCAGGCUCCCUGACUUAAUCAUUUCUGAUAAAAACCACUUUUGCCACGUAAGAUCUUCUCCACUUCCUGAACCAACCUUCCAACGCCACACCUUUCUCUCUCUCUUUAGAAAACAAAUGAAUAAAAUAAACAAAUAAAACAAAAAAGGAAGAAAGAAAAAGCAUGAGAAACAUAUAUGCAUGCAGAUACA